This 411-nucleotide long non-coding RNA is filed under the name Chinchilla lanigera (long-tailed chinchilla). Its description in RNAcentral is "lncRNA (ENSCLAG00000022784.1)". The record is from RNAcentral. Lineage: Eukaryota; Metazoa; Chordata; Mammalia; Rodentia; Chinchillidae.
CACAAACAACUAAACAAACAAAUAGUUGACAGAAUGUCAAGGAGUCACAUGUUAUAAAGCAAGGGAGAGACAGAGUAAUGGAGAUGCUAUUUUAGAUGGGGUGAACAGAAAGGUCUUCCUGACAGGCAGCUGCUAUGAUUAUAGCUGUUUAAGGGAAGAGGAAAUCAAAGUUCAGAGACUGUAUCUUACUGACACCUUGUGCACAUUAACAAGGAGUUGGCUGGGGACGCAAUACCAGGCACCGGACUGCAGCAUCCACAUUCCCACCACCUGUCUGCGUAUAUUUAUCUCUGUAAGAGCCCUGUGAUAAAGGUCACACAAAGUGUGAAGAUGCAUAGUAUGACCUCUUCCCUCAGAAUGCUGUCAGCCUUUUGAAGGGUAAGUUGUAUAUCACUAGUCACAUGUCUUCUC